GUGGUGCUGGUGUCCCUCCACUUCCCAAAAGAAUGAUGCCGGACUCAUUCUUGGUGCUGAAUGACAGGUUGAUUUCUGUUCCUACAUCAAUUGGCACAGGGGAGAGCUCCACAAAACCAGGCUUAGGAAAGCUAACUGUGUAAACAUUCUAGUGGGUGUCUAUGGCCAAUUCCAAAUUGGAGCCUGUAGCUAUGAACAAUGAAGAUCCUGAAAGUUCUGUUCCAGUCUUUAAACCUCAUCAUUCAAGUGGUGGAUUUACUUUUUUCUUUACCCACAUUUUCCCUUCAUUUCCCUAAUUCUAUUGGAGUGGUUUAAGAUAAUUUUGAUUAGAAGCAGCAGACAAAAUGAAUAAUUGUAUUAUGAUAGGAUAAUUAAAAAUGUAUGAGAAUGA
This is a long non-coding RNA of Homo sapiens (human), 391 nucleotides long. NCBI's taxonomy places the organism in Eukaryota, Metazoa, Chordata, Mammalia, Primates, Hominidae. The record is from Ensembl.